This 720-nucleotide ribosomal RNA is filed under the name uncultured bacterium. RNAcentral's name for it is "bacterial SSU rRNA". It matches the Rfam family "Bacterial small subunit ribosomal RNA", at positions 22 to 731 of the family's 1533-position model. The record is from RNAcentral.
GCUCAGAUUGAACGCUGGCGGCAGGCCUAACACAUGCAAGUCGAACGGUAACAGGAAGCAGCUUGCUGCUUCGCUGACGAGUGGCGGACGGGUGAGUAAUGUCUGGGAAACUGCCUGAUGGAGGGGGAUAACUACUGGAAACGGUAGCUAAUACCGCAUAACGUCGCAAGACCAAAGAGGGGGACCUUCGGGCCUCUUGCCAUCGGAUGUGCCCAGAUGGGAUUAGCUAGUAGGUGGGGUAACGGCUCACCUAGGCGACGAUCCCUAGCUGGUCUGAGAGGAUGACCAGCCACACUGGAACUGAGACACGGUCCAGACUCCUACGGGAGGCAGCAGUGGGGAAUAUUGCACAAUGGGCGCAAGCCUGAUGCAGCCAUGCCGCGUGUAUGAAGAAGGCCUUCGGGUUGUAAAGUACUUUCAGCGGGGAGGAAGGCGAUAAGGUUAAUAACCUUGUCGAUUGACGUUACCCGCAGAAGAAGCACCGGCUAACUCCGUGCCAGCAGCCGCGGUAAUACGGAGGGUGCAAGCGUUAAUCGGAAUUACUGGGCGUAAAGCGCACGCAGGCGGUCUGUCAAGUCGGAUGUGAAAUCCCCGGGCUCAACCUGGGAACUGCAUUCGAAACUGGCAGGCUAGAGUCUUGUAGAGGGGGGUAGAAUUCCAGGUGUAGCGGUGAAAUGCGUAGAGAUCUGGAGGAAUACCGGUGGCGAAGGCGGCCCCCUG